CAGAAAUUGACAUGAUUAUACUGGCCAGCCUAUUGAGAAAAUAGAGCGGCAAACCGAAAGGGAUCGUUUUUUCUCUUCUGCCGAGGCUUUGGAGUUUGGUUUAAUUGAUGGUGUGUUGGAAACUGAAUACUGAAAUUCAAAGAUUGGCAACAGGAUAAUGAUAACUCUAUGCAUUUGAAUUGCCAUGGUACACAGACUGGUCGAGAUAACUCGCUAUUCUAAACAUUAAACCAAACUUUUAAAGUAGAAGGAUCAUUGAUCUUGAGCUCUGCGAAGUAAAGUUUUACGUUUAAAUACCAAUAUUGGAGGUGUAAUUUUGGCUGUCUGUAAAGAGGGCAUUUCACGAAAAUGCAGCAUUUAUGAAAUUACUUACAAUCUAAUCUUUGUACAAAAGACACUGUUGUUUGUUAUGGAUCAUUCCAUCUUUAAAGAAAAAAACUUUAGUGA
Long non-coding RNA from Papaver somniferum (opium poppy), 447 nucleotides. RefSeq lists it as uncharacterized. The transcript has 2 exons. The record is from RefSeq and is a predicted model, not a curated record. Lineage: Eukaryota; Viridiplantae; Streptophyta; Magnoliopsida; Ranunculales; Papaveraceae.